GAUUGCCUCAGUAACGGCGAGUGAAGCGGCAACAGCUCAAAUUUGAAAUCUGGCCCCAGGCCCGAGUUGUAAUUUGCAGAGGAUGCUUUUGGCGAGGUGCCUUCCGAGUUCCCUGGAACGGGACGCCAUAGAGGGUGAGAGCCCCGUACGGUUGGACACCAAGUCUUUGUAAAGCUCCUUCGACGAGUCGAGUAGUUUGGGAAUGCUGCUCAAAAUGGGAGGUAUAUUUCUUCUAAAGCUAAAUAUUGGCCAGAGACCGAUAGCGCACAAGUAGAGUGAUCGAAAGAUGAAAAGCACUUUGAAAAGAGGGUUAAACAGCACGUGAAAUUGCUGAAAGGGAAGCGCUUAUGACCAGACUUGCGCCCGGUGAAUCACCCAGCUCUCGCGGCUGGGGCACUUUGCCGGCUCAGGCCAGCAUCAGCUCGCUGUCGGGGACAAAAGCUUCGGGAACGUAGCUCUCUUCGGGGAGUGUUAUASCCCGUUGCAUAAUACCCUUCGGCGGGCUGAGGUACGCGCUCCGCAAGGAUGCUG
Molecule: ribosomal RNA, 531 nt
Filed under: uncultured fungus
Lineage: Eukaryota; Fungi
Description: eukaryotic LSU rRNA
Rfam family: Eukaryotic large subunit ribosomal RNA
Source: RNAcentral